GGGGUUGACUGGAUUUGACAGCAGGUAGAGAUGGUACGUAAGCACGCGGAGGCUCGUUGGCUACCUCCUAAAACCGAGUGAACGAACAAUUAAUUGGCAACUAUAAGUAUGCUCUCGCUGCUUAAUCGAAGUAUAGUAGAUUGCUAGCUUAAUUCUCUUGCCAGGCAGGAGAACGAGACGUCACUCCGAGGAUGUUGUUCCGAAUCCAAAGAUCAAGUGGCGCAGGUUAAAUCGGAAAUAGUCUUUGCAGGCUCCGAUGCAGAGAUGAAGUUUAGGGGCUAAGGCAUCAGUUGGUGGUCCAGGUCUUGCUGCUGCUCGAAAACCAAAGGCUGGAAUAAGCGUGUAGAAAGCGUAUGGUUUCCUUGUUUGGACGAGGGUUCGACUCCCUCCAGCUCCAC
Molecule: transfer-messenger RNA, 398 nt
Filed under: uncultured Prevotella sp.
Lineage: Bacteria; Pseudomonadati; Bacteroidota; Bacteroidia; Bacteroidales; Prevotellaceae
Rfam family: transfer-messenger RNA
About the family: Bacterial tmRNA, also known as 10Sa RNA or SsrA, is named for its dual tRNA and mRNA-like properties. Its role is to liberate the mRNA from a stalled ribosome.
Source: RNAcentral